GUUUCCUGUUUUCCAGCACCCAACAUAACUUGUAAGGAUUCCAGUGGCAAUGAAACACAUUUUACUGGGAACGAAGUUGGUUUUUUCAAGCCCAUAUCUUGCCGAAAUGUAAAUGGCUAUUCCUACAAAGUGGCAGUCGCAUUGUCUCUUUUUCUUGGAUGGUUGGGAGCAGAUCGAUUUUACCUUGGAUACCCUGCUUUGGGUUUGUUAAAGUUUUGCACUGUAGGGUUUUGUGGAAUUGGGAGCCUAAUUGAUUUCAUUCUUAUUUCAAUGCAGAGACAGGGUCUUGCUCUGUUGCCCAGGCUGGAGUGCAGUGGCGUGAUCAUAACUCAUUGCAGCCUCGAAUUCCUGGGUUCAAACAAUCUUCCUGCCUCAGCCUCCCAUCCAGUAUGGGAUAUUUUAAAAGAUUGUUGGACCUUCAGAUGGAAGUAGUUACAUUAUAGAUUACUAUGGAACCAGACUUACAAGACUGAGUAUUACUAAUGAAACAUUUAGAAAAACGCAAUUAUAUCCAUAAAUAUUUUUUAAAAGAAACAGAUUUGAGCCUCCUUGAUUUUAAUAGAGAACUUCUAGUGUAUGGAUUUAAAGAUUUCUCUUUUUCAUUCAUAUACCAUUUUAUGAGUUCUGUAUAAUUUUUUGUGGUUUUUGUUUUGUUGAGUUAAAGUAUAUUAUUGUGAGAUUUAUUUAAUAGGACUUCCUUUGAAAGCUGUAUAAUAGUGUUUCUCGGGCUUCUGUCUCUAUGAGAGAUAGCUUAUUACUCUGAUACUCUUUAAUCUUUUACAAAGGCAAGUUGCCACUUGUCAUUUUUGUUUCUGAAAAAUAAAAGUAUAACUUAUUC
RNAcentral lists this long non-coding RNA (838 nucleotides) under Homo sapiens (human). RNAcentral describes it as "long non-coding RNA NONHSAT151712.1". The record is from RNAcentral. Lineage: Eukaryota; Metazoa; Chordata; Mammalia; Primates; Hominidae.